AGAAGUAAAAGUCGUAACAAGGUCUCCGUUGGUGAACCAGCGGAGGGAUCAUUACCGAGUUUACAACUCCCAAACCCAAUGUGAACCGUACCAAACCGUUGCCUCGGCGGGGUCACGCCCCGGGCGCGUCGCAGCCCCGGAACCAGGCGCCCGCCGGAGGGACCAACCAAACUCUCUUUGCAGUCCCCUCGCGGACGUUAUUCCUCACAGCUCUGAGCAAAAAAAUUCAAAAUGAAUCAAAACUUUCAACAACGGAUCUCUUGGUUCUG
RNAcentral lists this unclassified non-coding RNA (269 nucleotides) under plant metagenome. RNAcentral describes it as "partial contains small subunit ribosomal RNA, internal transcribed spacer 1, and 5.8S ribosomal RNA". The stretch from base 1 to 54 matches the Rfam family "Eukaryotic small subunit ribosomal RNA", at positions 1778 to 1831 of the family's 1831-position model. The record is from RNAcentral.